GCAGAUCCCUUGGAUGUAGAUCAAUCUCAGAUUCAGACUCCAACUUCACAGCAGGACACCUCUCCACAAAAAGACACGUUCCAUGACAGCUGCCAUCGCCAGUCAAAAAGAGCAUUAACCUUCAAUGAUGCUGAGCCACACGACAGGUUUGUUUUGCCUCCCCACACAUAACAAAUAAUUCCAGUGCAAACAUGACACACCAACGGAGGCCACUAUCUCAUUUCUUUGAUAUGCAUUCCUUUAAUAAUUAUUCCUUGCCUGAUCAACAACUUUAUAAAUACUCUUCCCUUUCAUUCUUAAUAUCUUAUUUGGCAUGCAAAUAUCAUCCCAUGGAAUCUUUUUUCAACUAUAUCAUUAUUUUUAUUUUUAUUUUUUUAUUUCAAGAUAUUAACUUCCAAUACACCACUAUCUCAUAUUUGCUCUACAUUCAUCCUAUGAAAGUUAUUACUUAAUUGUUCUACUAAUAAAUAAAUUGUUUUGUCUUUCAUUCACAUUGUUUACAUUUCUCAUUCCUUGAGUACUUCCUUUCAACAUAUGAUUCAGCACCCAGCUUCCCCACCCAAAACCCUUCAACGAAGACUCAUCAAAGGAGCUUCUCUACAAAGAUGAUGACAAUCCUGCACCUCAACUUUCAAAGAAGCAGCGCCUCUCCGUUUCAUCACCUGAAAAAG
RNAcentral lists this long non-coding RNA (671 nucleotides) under Populus tremula. Its description in RNAcentral is "long non-coding RNA (PTRE_LNC000773)". Lineage: Eukaryota; Viridiplantae; Streptophyta; Magnoliopsida; Malpighiales; Salicaceae. The record is from RNAcentral.